GUAAAAAGUGAUUCUGAGUUUUAGUCAGGUGGACAAGUAAAAUCAUGUCCUGUCAACUUGCAGUGUCUCACUACGCAGAAGGAUGAGUUAUAACAACUUCAACUUGAAGGGAAAUUGAAAACUUAAAAUAAGGUGUUCAUAUAACAACAAAACAUAGGUUCUUUCAAUUUUUUGCCUCAUGCGCAUGUGCCAUAAUCUCUACGUCAUAAUGACGUACUACUUUAACGAAUUUGAACAAGAGGCGCCAUCGCCAUUUUCUGCACGAGAGGACGAGAUCACUACAGGAGUUGCUGAUGGGAGAAAAAAGACGACGAAGGAGCUCUUAUUUGAACGACUACAGAUGGAUUUUUAUAACAACAAACCAAAGGAUGAGGACUGCAGCAUUGCUUGGGCUGCCGUGAUACAUGCGAGAGACUCCUUCUAAAUUCAUGAAGAUAUGCUAGCCCAGUGACCGUGAAAAGGAUGUGAUCAAGGGCGUGGUGAUCGGAGUCCUAGUGGUUGUGGAAAAUGUGAUGGAGCCUCUCCAGAAUUCUACAAUGACGUUGCCCUGGUGAUUGAGGAAGAAGUGGUGAUGCGUCACCUGAGUGACAUACCUAAUGCUUUUCUGAACCUGAUGGGCCUGGUGUACGCAUUAAACAUUGACUUUCCAAAGGAAUAUAAAAUUCACUUUUGAAGUGAUACAACGCCUGUUCAUUGGAGUGGGAUCACACUCUUGCACCGCAAGUUGCUGAGAUAAGAAACUCUUUUCCUUUCUUUGCUACUAUAAGCACUUACACUGUUACACUGUUUUAAAGUUUAAGACCAUUGUUAUUUUAGAUAUUAUUGUUUUAAAGGGAUACUCCAUCGUUUUGUCAUAUUAAACUGUUAUUACCUUAAAGCAAUAGUUCACUUUGAAAUUAAGUUUUGAUAUGUUUUAGCUUACCUCAAGGGCAUCCAAGAUGUAGGUGUCUUUGUUUCCGUGGUAGUUUCACUUUUGAUGUUUUUAGGUCAAACCGUUCUUGUCUGUCAGUCAUAUAAUGCAGGUCUAUGAGGUAAACAUUACCUCAAAGAGCAUUCACAGAGAAGUCCAAAUUAAGCAACUGUCCAUCGUAAGUACACAUUGAUGGCCUUAGACACGAAACGAGCGGUUUGUGUGAGAAAACGAACACUAUUUAUAUUGUUUUUGCCCCUUGUACACAACCACAUCUGUGCUUAGUCUGCGCAUGCGCCGGAAGUGAUCUCUCGCACGUGUACGUCACUCAUUGUUUACACAGAACAGAGAUUUUAGGUAAGACAGUUAAUAGAAAUAGUACUGAUUUGCGCUUAUCCGGGAUGUUUAAACCGACGUGAAAGAAAACAAUUACGUAUGCUCGCGCAAACUCAUCCAGGAGAUCACUUCCGGCGCAUGUGCAGACUAAGCACAGACGUGGUUGUGUAC
Molecule: long non-coding RNA, 1417 nt
Organism: Paramisgurnus dabryanus
Lineage: Eukaryota; Metazoa; Chordata; Actinopteri; Cypriniformes; Cobitidae
Source: RefSeq, a predicted model, not a curated record